GGGCCGGUCGUCUAGCUCGGUUAGGAUGUCAGAGAUUCUCCAUCAAGCCCUUACACGGCGAAGGUCGGCGGUUCGAAUCCGCCCCGGCCCA
Molecule: transfer RNA, 91 nt
Filed under: Nitrososphaerota archaeon
Lineage: Archaea; Thermoproteati; Nitrososphaerota
Description: Thaumarchaeota archaeon tRNA-Val
Rfam family: tRNA
About the family: Transfer RNA (tRNA) molecules are approximately 80 nucleotides in length. Their secondary structure includes four short double-helical elements and three loops (D, anti-codon, and T loops).
Source: RNAcentral